Long non-coding RNA from Triticum aestivum (bread wheat), 3580 nucleotides. RefSeq lists it as uncharacterized. The record is from RefSeq and is a predicted model, not a curated record. The transcript has 4 exons. NCBI's taxonomy places the organism in Eukaryota, Viridiplantae, Streptophyta, Magnoliopsida, Poales, Poaceae.
CUGAAAAACGUUUCGUUAGAACAACCAAACCUCUGCCUCCUCCCCUGCUCUCCCAUCGCCCGCAGAAGCCCACCCAAGCCCUCGCUCGCUCGCCGAGAUCCAUGGCGUCCGCAGCGGCUGGGAGAGGACGCGCACGGGAGGAGGAGUUCGGCGAGCUCUUGUGGACCUGCUGUCCAUCGUGCGGGCCAGCAACCGCUGUCGCCGCCAGCAGCAGAAGCAGCAGGAGGCGCGGGCAGAUUUCCCCUUGUGGGGCCGGCGCCGGCCGAGGAAGGCCCUGGCGGCGCCGCCGAACGAGAAGCCCGCGGCCGAUGAAGACAGUAGCGAGGGCGUCGCCAGCCCGGACACCCCGCUCGCCUUCCCCUAGGACGACGAGGCGGCGGCGACGGAGCACGAGGCAAAGGCUAGCGCACAAGACAAGUGGCCGAGGUGGAGCUAUAGGCCACCGAGGUUUCCUAUGUCGUGGGAUGAGGAGGAGGAUGGGGAAUGGGAAGCACCGAAGAUUGACAACCCCAACUCCCCAAUUGUGAAGAGGCACCUGGUUGUGGUGAAUGGAAGAGGCCAUUGAAGCAGAACCCUUCCUACAAAGGCAAGUGGCAUGCGCCCCUGAUUGACAACCCCAGCUACAAGGGAAUCUGGAAGCCCCAAGAUAUCCCCAACCCUGAGUACUUUGAGCUUGACAAGCCUGACUUUGAUCCAAUUGCUGCUAUUGGAAUUGAGAUCUGGACAAUGCAUGAUGGCAUCCUUUAUGGCAAUAUUCUUUUUGCCGAUGAUUAGAAGGUAGCCACCUCUAUCCUGGAGAAUACAUGGAAGCCCAAGUUUGAUGUUGAGAAGGAAAAAAGCAGAUGGCUCAGUGGAUCAUCUAGCCUCCCACUUGGCAAGGUGCAGCAGCCCUCUUCUUGUUUUCUCUUUCCCAAGAGCACAUCAUGGAUUAUCAGCAGGAUUGAGCCGAUGAUCUAGAUUGAGCAGGUCAAAGGAACUUGCCAGCAAUACUCCUCUUUGAUCUGGUGCUAAAGGCGUCCGAUCCAACUCAGGUGGAGGCCAAGGAGGUUCGGCUCUCGGAUAUUGCACAAUAACGCUGGAUGAUACCGACGUGCGGACUGUAAGUUUCAUAUAUUCAGAUUCGGGCCUUUCUUCCUGUUAUUUUGCCGUCAAAGCUGAAAAAGAGUGAUGCUAAUUCGCUAAAGGUCGAUGUGGUCAUGAUGCAUAUCAUGGUUCUCUGACCUUGUAUCAAUUUACUCUGCAUUUACAUGAUAUAUUGCUAGGAAAGAGACACUGGGCUCCAUAUUAUCAUUAUCAUAUAUGCUAGACUAGAGGUGGUGGUCACUGGUGAGGUGAAGUGGCAAUUUAUGCAGUAACAUCCCAACUGUAAACUGACUAUGAUGUACUACCUCUGUUUCAACAGAUUUCAGCAAUAGUGCUUCUAACAGUUGGAGGGUUUACCUUUUAUUUUUGUGUGACUGCAGAAAAUAGAUGAAAUCACUGAACUGAACAUUGCAGAGGAUUUUGAUAACCGACCUUCAAAAAAAGCUUUUAUUUCUUAAAGAUCAACCAAAAAACAAAUUACACAUCUAUAUGUAUUCUCAGUUUUAUCAAUCUCAGUAUCCAAACCACAAAAGUGCACAAGUUUGUUACAAAAUAGGAAUAAGAAACGUACUUAACAAUACACGUUUUUGUUACAAAAAUAGCAAUCAGAAUCCUAAUUUGGUAUGUACAAGAGCCCGAGACAAAGACACGGCUUCCCCUUGCUUUAUUUAGCAAGAUUUUGAAUUCUAAUUAGCUACACACGCCGUGCUGCUACAAAUACAAGCACACGGCUUCCGCUGGCUUGGCUAGCUUUGUACGUCGGCUUUGCGCUACAAGUCGCCUUUCUACGCUGUCUUACAAUAUCACCGUACAGACCGUGCUCCACCUGAGGUACGUCCGAUCUCAUGCCAAGCAAAAUAUGGUUCUGUCAUUUUGAAAAAGGCAUGAACUUUCCUUUGUGUCUGCAACCAUAGGUUCCAUCAUCAUUACCUUGCCUGUAUAUGGACAGCUUGCACUCUUUAGGACUGAUAGAUGUGAAAUUAUUAGAUCUUUGCAUCAAAUACAGGAACAACACAAUGUAAGAUAUGCAAGUUUAUCGAGAGGAAUGCAAAGAAAAAAAAACACAUGUAUGGUUUAUUUGGCAUCACCAACUUUUGUGUUUUCAGUGCACAUCUUAGCCUAUGUAAACUGCAAGUUGAAUAAAGUGUGCUCACUUUUUCUACAAUACUUUCUUUAAUAAAUGUAGAACAUAAAAGCCUGAUCUUAAUAAGCGAGAGCUCAAGUUAUUCUUUCAAGAUAGAUUCAGAUCAAACCUUUUCAAAGUAAAGAUCCCUCAGCCAGAGACUUAAGCUUUAGCAGAAAAACUUGAUUGACUGGAAUCAACGAAAUUUCGAUGCCACCAACUGCAACAAGUGGCAGCAUGAAGUAGCUAUGAGCAAUAUUUAUAGGGUACUACUAGCAACCGCCAAGCAAUCUGUCACAGAAACAUGUCAGGCAGCUAGGCAUGCGAGUGACAUGUGUGUCGGUAACAUUGGAUGUUUGUUUGUAAAUGUAAAUCACGAAAAAUGGUUCUUGGUAUCUAGAGAAGAAAUACACACACACACACACGAGAGAGUAAUUCACAUAGUGGAUAUAAAAUACCUAUUAAUGUUGUACGUGAGUUGACUCGACAUGCUGCAGGAUCUUAUGAUUUGUUCUCUGAAGGUGGCCUCGGAGUAUAACGUUGCAUAUUCCUGAAGCAAUUGUGAUGCUCCGUUUUGUUAGGAUUAAGAUGCUUGAACAUGUUGGAGCAUAAGAAAGGAGGGGUUGCCAAGUUGAACGUGAAGGACAAGCUUCCAGACGGCGGCUGCUCGUCCACCAACCGCGCGCCUUGGUUGGAGCCUGCGGGAGGAGGGGUGGGAAGGAACAGGGAGGAAGCAGGAGCCGCCCAAGGUCCCGUUCAUACGGCGGCGCAGGCAGAAGACAUGACGGUGCGGCCACCGGAAGCACUAUUUUUCCUACCCUUGUCCUCCGAGAACGACGGGGACAAGGGAGGCGGCGGCGGCGGCGCUGUCCAGCAGUGGGGAAGGAGAACGGGGAAUGGGAAGAAAGAUUGAGUUCGUGCGUGUUGUGUGUGCGUGCGUGCGUGUGAAUAAAAGUAUUUCAAUUGGCCAAGCCCAAAAAACAGUGCAAAAUAAAUUACAAAUUAAAUAUAAUAUUCCAAAAAAUGUUUGUCACCAUAAAAAUGAUUCCAUUCUAAAAAACAGUAUCAAUUUCUUUUAAAAACACAUUCCCAAAUUAUUAAAUAUUCAUGUUUUUCUGUACAACAAUAAAUAAAAUUGAUUGAAAGACUAUUCCAUGCACAACUACUGUUUCAUCGGAGAGGUGAAAUAGGUCAUGCCGAACAUUUUUAGGGUACGUCCAAAUUUCAUGGUCCAAAAAGAAAUACUUAGUGUAACCUUAUUUUUGACGUUUGUAAAAAUUGAAUUAAAAAGUGGUGCAUAAUGUUAUAUUUUAUAUUUGCCCGGUGCAAUGCACGGGCAUUUGUACUAGUGAUAUACAUAAUUUUAGAGUGAUG